UAGUGUUUCUUCAUUUAAUAUGUUUGCAUGUAGUUCGUAUUUUCGCCACUAGGUGGCCACCUGAGCACAUCGAUACAACACAACAUCGUUCAGAAAGGGAGAGAUGUGCGUCGAUUGAAGAAAGUCACCAUUUGUGCUUCGUCUUUGUUUCUUAGAUGCCGAAAAGCUGUAGCUACACUAGAGUCGUGUUCACUUUCGAGACUUCUCAAACUCCAGAGUUCCCCAUGAGGACCUGCAGGGUAAAACCAUUUUUUUUGUUUUGUUUUUUGUUUUUUUUUUGUUUUUUGCAAUUCUAGUUCCUACAUACUGUGCACAUAGAAUGUUUAUCUAUGGUCCUUACCAGGUAUCUGUCAUACGAUACCAUAUUCAUACCCCGGACAGAUUUAGCAUUAAAGUAAUAUUCCAAGUAAUAUUUAGCCAACAUGUUUUUCUGACUCAAAAUAAUGUCAGUAUUUGAUAUUAUUUUUGUUUUCCACCCAGAGUACCAUCUUGAAUCUGAGGAGAGAGCUAAAAAAAUUUGGUGAUGGCGCUUUUCUAAAGAUAAAUUAUCCAAAUACCUGUGAACACAUGAAAAACUGCUGGUCAAAUAUUAAAAGAGAAAGUUAGACUGCUGUAUUGCCAAUUAUGAUUUUUCCUUCAAUCAUUAAGAAACAUAUAAAU
Molecule: long non-coding RNA, 660 nt
Organism: Poecilia latipinna (sailfin molly)
Lineage: Eukaryota; Metazoa; Chordata; Actinopteri; Cyprinodontiformes; Poeciliidae
Exons: 2
Source: RefSeq, a predicted model, not a curated record